This 526-nucleotide ribosomal RNA is filed under the name uncultured eukaryote. RNAcentral describes it as "SSU rRNA". It matches the Rfam family "Eukaryotic small subunit ribosomal RNA", at positions 76 to 604 of the family's 1831-position model. The record is from RNAcentral.
AUACAGCGAAACUGCGAAUGGCUCAUUAUAUAAGUCAUUUGUUUAUUUGAUAGUGCCUUACUACUUGGAUAACCGUGGUAAUUCUAGAGCUAAUACAUGCUAAAAACCCCGACUUCGGAAGGGGUGUAUUUAUUAGAUACAAAACCAAUGCCCUUCGGGGCUCUUUGGUGAUUCAUGAUAACUAUACGAAUCGCACGGCCUUGCGCCGGCGAUGGUUCAUUCAAAUUUCUUCCCUAUCAACUUUCGAUGUUUGGGUAUUGGCCAAACAUGGUUGCAACGGGUAACGGAGGGUUAGGGCUCGACCCCGGAGAAGGAGCCUGAGAAACGGCUACUACAUCCAAGGAAGGCAGCAGGCGCGCAAAUUACCCAAUCCCGACUCGGGGAGGUAGUGACAAUAAAUACUGAUACAGGGCCCUUUCGGGCCUUGUAAUUGGAAUGAGUACAAUUUAAAUCCCUUAACGAGGAACAAUUGGAGGGCAAGUCUGGUGCCAGCAGCCGCGGUAAUUCCAGCUCCAAUAGCGUAUAU